RNAcentral lists this ribosomal RNA (420 nucleotides) under uncultured bacterium. RNAcentral describes it as "bacterial SSU rRNA". It matches the Rfam family "Bacterial small subunit ribosomal RNA", at positions 359 to 776 of the family's 1533-position model. The record is from RNAcentral.
GAAUAUUGGACAAUGGGCGGAAGCCUGAUCCAGCCAUCCCGCGUGCAGGAUGAAGGCCCUCCGGGUCGUAAACUGCUUUAGACUGGGAAGACACCACUUGACGUGUCAGGUGUUGACGGUACCAGUAGAAUAAGCAACGGCUAACUCCGUGCCAGCAGCAGCGGUAAUACGGAGGGUGCAAGCGUUAUCCGGAAUCACUGGGUUUAAAUGGUGCGUAGGCGGAUUGAUAAGUCAGGGGUGAAAGCCUUCCGCUUAACGGAAGAACUGCCUUUGAUACUGUUAAGCUUGAAAGAGGUUGAGGUCAGCGGAACGUGACAUGUAGCGGUGAAAUGCAUAGAUAUGUCACAGAACACCAAUUGCGAAGGCAGCUGACUGGACCUACUUUGACGCUGAGGCACGAAAGCGUGGGGAGCGAACAGG